Molecule: small nucleolar RNA, 136 nt
Organism: Astyanax mexicanus (Mexican tetra)
Lineage: Eukaryota; Metazoa; Chordata; Actinopteri; Characiformes; Acestrorhamphidae
Source: Ensembl
GCAUGGCUGAAUUCUGUUUUACUCUGUCUGUAGUAAAUUCAGUCAGACACCAUGCAAGAUUACCCUACUCUCACUCUUUCUGUUUUAGUGGUAUCUUAAUUUAUGUUACCACUGACAUGAGGGAGAGUAUACAAAC